RNAcentral lists this ribosomal RNA (1136 nucleotides) under Salmonella enterica subsp. enterica serovar Javiana. RNAcentral describes it as "bacterial SSU rRNA". It matches the Rfam family "Bacterial small subunit ribosomal RNA", at positions 1 to 1148 of the family's 1533-position model. The record is from RNAcentral. Lineage: Bacteria; Pseudomonadati; Pseudomonadota; Gammaproteobacteria; Enterobacterales; Enterobacteriaceae.
AUGGAGAGUUUGAUCCUGGCUCAGGACGAACGCUGGCGGCGUGCUUAACACAUGCAAGUCGAACGGUGACGGAUGGAGCUUGCUCUGUCUUGAUCAGUGGCGAACGGGUGAGUAACACGUGAGUAACCUGCCCCGGACUCUGGAAUAACCCCGGGAAACCGGAGCUAAUACCGGAUAUGACACCAACCUGCAUGGGUAUGGUGUGGAAAGUUUUUCGGUCUGGGAUGGACUCGCGGCCUAUCAGCUUGUUGGUGAGGUAAUGGCUCACCAAGGCGACGACGGGUAGCCGGCCUGAGAGGGCGACCGGCCACACUGGGACUGAGACACGGCCCAGACUCCUACGGGAGGCAGCAGUGGGGAAUAUUGCACAAUGGGCGAAAGCCUGAUGCAGCGACGCCGCGUGAGGGAUGACGGCCUUCGGGUUGUAAACCUCUUUCAGCAGGGAAGAAGCGCAAGUGACGGUACCUGCAGAAGAAGCACCGGCUAACUACGUGCCAGCAGCCGCGGUAAUACGUAGGGUGCGAGCGUUGUCCGGAAUUAUUGGGCGUAAAGAGCUUGUAGGCGGUUUGUCGCGUCUGCCGUGAAAAUUCGAGGCUCAACCUCGAACUUGCGGUGGGUACGGGCAGACUAGAGUGUGGUAGGGGAGACUGGAAUUCCUGGUGUAGCGGUGAAAUGCGCAGAUAUCAGGAGGAACACCGAUGGCGAAGGCAGGUCUCUGGGCCACUACUGACGCUGAGAAGCGAAAGCAUGGGGAGCGAACAGGAUUAGAUACCCUGGUAGUCCAUGCCGUAAACGUUGGGAACUAGGUGUGGGUCUCAUUCCACGAGAUCCGUGCCGCAGCUAACGCAUUAAGUUCCCCGCCUGGGGAGUACGGCCGCAAGGCUAAAACUCAAAGGAAUUGACGGGGGCCCGCACAAGCGGCGGAGCAUGCGGAUUAAUUCGAUGCAACGCGAAGAACCUUACCAAGGCUUGACAUAUGCGAGAACGCGGCAGAGAUGUCGUUCUCUUUGGACACUCGCAUACAGGUGGUGCAUGGUUGUCGUCAGCUCGUGUCGUGAGAUGUUGGGUUAAGUCCCGCAACGAGCGCAACCCUCGUUCUAUGUUGCCAGCACGUGAUGGUGGGGACUCAUAGGAGA